CCGGCGACCGGCGCACGGGUGAGUAACACGUAUGGAACCUGCCCGCAGCAGGGGGAUAAGCGGAAGAAAUUCCGUCUAAUACCGCGUAACACCGCGGAGGGGCAUCCCUCGGCGGUUAAAGAUUCAUCGGCUGCGGAUGGCCAUGCGGCGCAUUAGCUAGUCGGCGGGGUAACGGCCCACCGAGGCGACGAUGCGUAGGGGUUCUGAGAGGAAGGUCCCCCACACUGGUACUGAGACACGGACCAGACUCCUACGGAAGGCAGCAG
Molecule: ribosomal RNA, 266 nt
Filed under: uncultured bacterium
Lineage: Bacteria
Description: partial 16S ribosomal RNA
Rfam family: Bacterial small subunit ribosomal RNA
Source: RNAcentral